RNAcentral lists this ribosomal RNA (387 nucleotides) under uncultured fungus. RNAcentral describes it as "eukaryotic LSU rRNA". The stretch from base 1 to 113 matches the Rfam family "5.8S ribosomal RNA", at positions 42 to 154 of the family's 154-position model. Lineage: Eukaryota; Fungi. The record is from RNAcentral.
AACGCAGCAAAGGGCGAUAAGUAAUGUGAAUUGCAGAAUUCAGUGAAUCAUCGAAUCUUUGAACGCACCUUGCGCUCUUUGGUAUUCCGAAGAGCAUGCCUGUUUGAGUGUCAUGAAAAUAUCAACCUUGACUUGGGUUUUUGUGCUCUAGUCUUGGCUUGGAAUUGGGUGCUUGCCGCUUUUACGAGCGGCUCACCUUAAAUGUAUUAGCUGGAUCUGUCUUUGAGACUUGGUUUGACUUGGCGUAAUAAGUAUUUCGCUAAGGACAUUCUUCGGAGUGGCCUCGUUUCUAGGACGCUUGUCCGCUUCCCAAUACAAGUUCCACCUCGUGGACAUGACUUUUUAUUAUCUGGCCUCAAAUCAGGUAGGACUACCCGCUGAACUUAA